CUAAUACAUGCAAGUCGAGCGAAUCGAUGGGAGCUUGCUCCCUGAGAUUAGCGGCGGACGGGUGAGUAACACGUGGGCAACCUGCCUAUAAGACUGGGAUAACUUCGGGAAACCGGAGCUAAUACCGGAUACGUUCUUUUCUCGCAUGAGAGAAGAUGGAAAGACGGUUUACGCUGUCACUUAUAGAUGGGCCCGCGGCGCAUUAGCUAGUUGGUGAGGUAAUGGCUCACCAAGGCGACGAUGCGUAGCCGACCUGAGAGGGUGAUCGGCCACACUGGGACUGAGACACGGCCCAGACUCCUACGGGAGGCAGCAGUAGGGAAUCUUCCGCAAUGGACGAAAGUCUGACGGAGCAACGCCGCGUGAACGAAGAAGGCCUUCGGGUCGUAAAGUUCUGUUGUUAGGGAAGAACAAGUACCAGAGUAACUGCUGGUACCUUGACGGUACCUAACCAGAAAGCC
RNAcentral lists this ribosomal RNA (461 nucleotides) under Lysinibacillus macroides. RNAcentral's name for it is "bacterial SSU rRNA". It matches the Rfam family "Bacterial small subunit ribosomal RNA", at positions 48 to 492 of the family's 1533-position model. Lineage: Bacteria; Bacillati; Bacillota; Bacilli; Caryophanales; Bacillaceae. The record is from RNAcentral.